AUUGAACGCUGGCGGCAUGCCUUACACAUGCAAGUCGAACGGCAGCGGGGGCUUCGGACUGGUGGCGAAUGGGGAAGGGGUGUGUAAUGAAUUGGCAAGUGGUGGGUAGUGGGGGCUAGACAGGCGAAAGAAGGCUUCAUACGGCAUAAGAGUUGAGGGGGGAGGUGGGGGACCGUCAGGCGAUGCGAUAUUGGGGUAGCAGAUGUCGGAUUAGCUGGUUGGAGGGGUAAAGGCUUACCAAGGCGACGAUCCGUAGCUGGUCUGAGAGGACGACCAGCCACACUGGGACUGAGACACGGCCCAGACUCCUACGGGAGGCAGCAGUGGGGAAUUUUGGACAAUGGGGGCAAGCCUGAUCCAGCCAUGCCGCGUGCGGGAAGAAGGCCUUCGGGUUGUAAACCGCUUUUGUUAGGGAAGAAAACGUUUUGGCUAAUACCCCGGAGUGAUGACGGUACCUGAAGAAUAAGCACCGGCUAACUACGUG
RNAcentral lists this ribosomal RNA (484 nucleotides) under uncultured bacterium. RNAcentral describes it as "partial 16S ribosomal RNA". It matches the Rfam family "Bacterial small subunit ribosomal RNA", at positions 29 to 507 of the family's 1533-position model. The record is from RNAcentral.